RNAcentral lists this ribosomal RNA (262 nucleotides) under uncultured Desulfocapsa sp. Its description in RNAcentral is "partial 16S ribosomal RNA". It matches the Rfam family "Bacterial small subunit ribosomal RNA", at positions 1118 to 1382 of the family's 1533-position model. Lineage: Bacteria; Pseudomonadati; Thermodesulfobacteriota; Desulfobulbia; Desulfobulbales; Desulfocapsaceae. The record is from RNAcentral.
CCAUCAUUGAGUUGGCACUCUAAAGAGACUGCCGGUGUCAAACCGGAGGAAGGUGGGGAUGACGUCAAGUCCUCAUGGCCUUUAUGACCAGGGCUACACACGUACUACAAUGGCCGGUACAAAGGGCAGCGACACAGCGAUGUGAAGCGAAUCCCGAAAAGCCGGUCUCAGUCCGGAUUGGAGUCUGCAACUCGACUCCAUGAAGUUGGAAUCGCUAGUAAUCGCGGAUCAGCACGCCGCGGUGAAUACGUUCCCGGGCCUU